Molecule: ribosomal RNA, 447 nt
Filed under: uncultured bacterium
Lineage: Bacteria
Description: bacterial SSU rRNA
Rfam family: Bacterial small subunit ribosomal RNA
Source: RNAcentral
UGGGGAAUCUUGGACAAUGGGCGCAAGCCUGAUCCAGCCAUGCCGCGUGGAUGAUGAAGGCCUUAGGGUUGUAAAAUCCUUUCGUGGGGGACGAUAAUGACGGUACCCCAAGAAGAAGCUCCGGCUAACUUCGUGCCAGCAGCCGCGGUAAUACGAAGGGGGCUAGCGUUGUUCGGAUUUACUGGGCGUAAAGCGCGUGUAGGCGGGUCGUUAAGUUGGGGGUGAAAUCCCGAGGCUCAACCUCGGAACUGCCUUCAAAACUGGCGACCUGGACUCAAGCAGAGGCAAGUGGAAUUGCAAGUGUAGAGGUGAAAUUCGUAGAUAUUCGCAGGAACACCAGUGGCGAAGGCGACUUGCUGGGCUUGUAGUGACGCUGAGACGCGAAAGCCAGGGGAGCAAACGGGAUUAGAUACCCCAGUAGUCCCUGAGCGGGCUGGCAAGGCGCAU